ACCUUUUAAUUAGGGCUUCCUCAACAUAUCCUCUUCCUAACCAGAAACAUAGUACAAUCACAAUGAAAUUCAUCUAUGGACCAUACCUAGCGACCUUAUUGAAAAAAUUAAUGGAUGAAUUCCAAAAUCUUUUCCCAAUUGACAAAGGCCAGAGGUUUUGCUUCGUAACAUCUCUGGAAAAAUUUCUUCUCAAAUUUUCAACUUUUGAAAAUUUAGACUCUAAAGAUUGCAUAAUGGGUGUUGAAGAAGUUGUAUUAUUCGUCCACUGCUCUUUUACAUGUCUAUUUGAGAAUUCAUGCAUCUGAAGUUGCAUUGAUUGCAAAUUCUACAUUGAAUGUUUUAGCAGCUGUGAUGAUACAUGGUGCAGUUCUCUUUCCUUUUUCUUAAUUUUAAGUGCUGACAAGAUUCAAGAAAAUUGAAUUGCUUUCUUUAGGAGGGGCUCUAUAUGAAGCUCUUUUAUGCUUCUAGACCAAAGUACAAAAUGAAGAGAUCCAAAUUAAUGCGUACCAAUUGACUUUCUUUAGGAUCAAGAUUAUUAAUAUCCAGUUGUAGUUAAGGAGUUCACAAGAUAUGGGACUAUGGGAACCCUUCUUGUACACUAAGCAAAAGGGAAAAUCAGGGAUGUCGUGUUUGUUGAGCUGCAAACGUGAGUAUGUUUAUAUGUCUAUUUCCGGUUUAUGUUUUAUAUUUUAACGUGCUAAUACAUGAGCACAUUUUGUUGAUUUGCAAGGUGAAUAUUAAGCAUUAAACUCUCUUCUGAUGAGAAAAAAUUGUAUUUUGUGACCCGAUAAAUGCUGUUGCUCUGGAGGGCAAAUAAUUGUUGCAUUACUUUUUGGCCCUUCUGUGAGUUACAUGAAGGAAACUUCAUCCAAAGUGCAGUUGUA
This is a long non-coding RNA of Lycium ferocissimum, 884 nucleotides long. RefSeq lists it as uncharacterized. The record is from RefSeq and is a predicted model, not a curated record. Lineage: Eukaryota; Viridiplantae; Streptophyta; Magnoliopsida; Solanales; Solanaceae. The transcript is spliced from 4 exons.